RNAcentral lists this long non-coding RNA (561 nucleotides) under Mytilus galloprovincialis (Mediterranean mussel). Lineage: Eukaryota; Metazoa; Mollusca; Bivalvia; Mytilida; Mytilidae. The record is from RNAcentral.
AUUUUAUUUUUGGAAUUUUCCCUGGAGUUCGGUAUUUAUAUUAUUUAACUUACGAAUCAUACGUAAAACGUGUUUAGAAUAUGACACAUAUAUCAUUGUCAUCGUUAUCAAGAUUGACAUGGGAUAUUAUAUGAAACAAGUCAGUUAGUAGCUUUCUACGAUACAUACAGGGUGAGUUACUAUAAAAUAUAAACAAGGAGCUAGAGCGGUUUUAUUUAUAUUCUGGUACAUCUCAAGUUGGUAUCAUCAUUGUAUUGAAAUAAACCUAUAACCGCGUAAACUAAACGUCAAAUAAUCAUUCACUAACGGAUAUCAAAUUUCAACAUUUUAACAUUAAAGUUCAUCAAUUUGCCCAUUCAUUUUACCAUCUUUGUUUAUGGUUAGCGUCGUUUUCAAUUAGUAAAAUAUGUUCAUAAGACUUGCGCGUACGCUAUAUAUUUAUUUUUCUUCGUCGUCUUUCUUAGGUUUGUCAUCGUUUUGGUCAUGUCGUUUUCCAGGUACUUUAAUCUCUGGUGCAGGCAUAUACGUUGAUUCAUUGUUCUUUUGUCUUUUGUCCUUUUG